This 206-nucleotide ribosomal RNA is filed under the name uncultured bacterium. RNAcentral describes it as "partial 16S ribosomal RNA". It matches the Rfam family "Bacterial small subunit ribosomal RNA", at positions 524 to 729 of the family's 1533-position model. The record is from RNAcentral.
UACGAAGGGGGCUAGCGUUGCUCGGAAUUACUGGGCGUAAAGCGCACGUAGGCGGCUUUCUAAGUCGGGGGUGAAAUCCUGGAGCUCAACUCCAGAACUGCCUUCGAUACUGGAGAGCUUGAGUCCGGGAGAGGUGAGUGGAACUGCGAGUGUAGAGGUGAAAUUCGUAGAUAUUCGCAAGAACACCAGUGGCGAAGGCGGCUCAC